RNAcentral lists this ribosomal RNA (276 nucleotides) under uncultured soil bacterium. Its description in RNAcentral is "partial 16S ribosomal RNA". It matches the Rfam family "Bacterial small subunit ribosomal RNA", at positions 26 to 285 of the family's 1533-position model. The record is from RNAcentral.
AGAAUCAACGCUGGCGGCGUGCCUCAGACAUGCAAGUCGAACGCGAAAGUCCCCUUCGGGGGAUGAGUAGAGUGGCGCACGGGUGAGUAACACGUAGGUAAUCUACCUUUGGAUGGGGAAUAACAACCGGAAACGGUUGCUAAUACCGCAUAAUGCAGCGGCACCUAAUGGUGACAGUUGUUAAAGCGGGGGAUCGAAAGACCUCGUGUCUGAAGAGGAGCCUGCGGCGGAUUAGCUAGUUGGUAAGGUAACGGUUUACCAAGGCGACGAUCCGUA